This 254-nucleotide ribosomal RNA is filed under the name uncultured bacterium. RNAcentral's name for it is "partial 16S ribosomal RNA". It matches the Rfam family "Bacterial small subunit ribosomal RNA", at positions 524 to 776 of the family's 1533-position model. The record is from RNAcentral.
GACGGGGGGAUGCAAGUGUUAUCCGGAAUCACUGGGCGUAAAGCGUCUGCAGGUGGUUUCCUAAGUCCACUGUUAAACCUUGAGGCUCAACCUCAAAUCUGCAUUGGAAACUAGGAGACUUGAGUAUAGUAGGGGUAGAGGGAAUUUCCAGUGGAGCGGUGAAAUGCGCAGAUAUCGGGAGGAACACCAAUGGCGAAGGCAGCUCGCUGGGACGUUACUGACGCUGAGACGCGAAAGCGUGGGGAGCAAACAGG